Molecule: non-coding RNA, 418 nt
Organism: Monodelphis domestica (gray short-tailed opossum)
Lineage: Eukaryota; Metazoa; Chordata; Mammalia; Didelphimorphia; Didelphidae
Source: RefSeq, a predicted model, not a curated record
CCAAGAUGACAACUGAAUCUAUGGGAACUGAUGAGAUCACAAAGUGAUAGAGUAUAUACAGGGAGAAGAGGGCCUAGUAUAGAACCUGAGUGUCACAAAAUUCCAGAAAGGAGAGAAUAUGAUAAUCAGUGUUAUGUAUCUGAGAUGUUAAGAAGGAUGAGGACUAAAACGUUCACCAGCCAACUAGAAGACAUAUCAUCAUCUACAUCACUGCCAGUGCCUUCUAUUGCAAGAAUACCAUUCCUGAUGGCAGGAAUCAUGUACAGUUGCUGGAUCACUGAAUUCAUAUAACAAGUAGCACCAGCAUUUUUCAGCCCCACAAAUCCUUUUGGUGGUCGAGGUCCAACCGGUGGCAGAUAUUCCCAUUCCGUAAGUGCCUCACAAGCUGAGAAAGAGUGAUUAAAAGGAGUUGUCACAA